RNAcentral lists this ribosomal RNA (480 nucleotides) under uncultured bacterium. Its description in RNAcentral is "partial 16S ribosomal RNA". It matches the Rfam family "Bacterial small subunit ribosomal RNA", at positions 28 to 523 of the family's 1533-position model. The record is from RNAcentral.
GACGAACGCUGGCGGCACGCUUAACACAUGCAAGUCGAACGAGAUCCUCGGAGCUUGCUCCGAGGGGACAGUGGCGAACGGGUGAGUAACACGUGAGGAACCUGCCCCGAAGACCGGAAUAACACCGGGAAACCGGUGCUAAUACCGGAUGCCCUCACCGGACCGCAUGAUCCGGUGAGGAAAUGGAUUCCGCUUCGGGAUGGCCUCGGGGCCUAUCAGCUUGUUGGUGGGGUAACGGCCUACCAAGGCUUCGACGGGUAGCUGGUCUGAGAGGAUGUCCAGCCACACUGGGACUGAGACACGGCCCAGACUCCGACGGGAGGCAGCAGUGGGGAAUAUUGCACAAUGGGGGAAACCCUGAUGCAGCAACGCCGCGUGAGUGAUGACGGCCUUCGGGUUGUAAAACUCUGUCUUCAGGGACGACAAUGACGGUACCUGGGGAGGAAGCCACGGCUAACUACGUGCCAGCCGCCGCCGUAA